CAAAGGAAUUGACGGGACCCGCACAAGCGGUGGAUGAUGUGGUUUAAUUCGAUGCAACGCGAAAACCUUACCCACCUUUGACAUGGCAGGAAUCCUAAAGAGAUUUGGAGUGCUCGAAAGAGAACCUGCACACAGGUGCUGCAUGGCUGUCGUCAGCUCGUGUCGUGAGAUGUUGGGUUAAGUCCCGCAACGAGCGCAACCCUUGCCAUUAGUUGCUACGAAAGGGCACUCUAAUGGGACUGCCGGUGACAAACCGGAGGAAGGUGGGGAUGACGUCAAGUCCUCAUGGCCCUUAUAGGUGGGGCUACACACGUCAUACAAUGGCCGGUACAGAGGGUAGCCAACCCGCGAGGGGGAGCCAAUCCCACAAAGCCGGUCGUAGUCCGGAUCGCAGUCUGCAACUCGACUGCGUGAAGUCGGAAUCGCUAGUAAUCGCGGAUCAGCAUGUCGCGGUGAAUACGUUCCCGGGUCUU
RNAcentral lists this ribosomal RNA (473 nucleotides) under uncultured Allobrachymonas sp. RNAcentral describes it as "bacterial SSU rRNA". It matches the Rfam family "Bacterial small subunit ribosomal RNA", at positions 902 to 1382 of the family's 1533-position model. The record is from RNAcentral. Lineage: Bacteria; Pseudomonadati; Pseudomonadota; Betaproteobacteria; Burkholderiales; Comamonadaceae.